This is a non-coding RNA of Pelobates cultripes (western spadefoot toad), 246 nucleotides long. Lineage: Eukaryota; Metazoa; Chordata; Amphibia; Anura; Pelobatidae. The record is from the annotation of a GenBank genome assembly.
UUUUGAGCAACAUGUAUUGACAAUGAGCUAUCAUAUCUGUGUCUUGAUGAUAGCCAGUUUGAAGCAUACAUAUGAUAGUGGUAAUAUAGGUACAUCGUUAAACAAAUUGUCAUUAAACAGAGUAUCCUGGCAUUGCUGUCGUGCCCAUAUUUAUGUAGUUCUCCUUCUUAACCAUUAGUCGUGAUGGUAGGAGUUUUCUCUUCGCUUUGCCAGUGUCGGUAAUUGCUCAGUUGUAAAAAUAACCCG